Molecule: ribosomal RNA, 295 nt
Filed under: uncultured bacterium
Lineage: Bacteria
Description: partial 16S ribosomal RNA
Rfam family: Bacterial small subunit ribosomal RNA
Source: RNAcentral
UGGUCCUACGGGGGGCAGCAGUGGGGAAUAUUGCACAAUGGGCGCAAGCCUGAUGCAGCCAUGCCGCGUGUAUGAAGAAGGCCUUCGGGUUGUAAAGUACUUUCAGCGGGGAGGAAGGGAGUAAGGUUAAUAACCUUAUUCAUUGACGUUACCCGCAGAAGAAGCACCGGCUAACUCCGUGCCAGCAGCCGCGGUAAUACGGAGGGUGCAAGCGUUAAUCGGAAUUACUGGGCGUAAAGCGCACGCAGGCGGUCUGUCAAGUCGGAUGUGAAAUCCCCGGGCUCAACCUGGGAAC